Long non-coding RNA from Suricata suricatta (meerkat), 298 nucleotides. RefSeq lists it as uncharacterized. The record is from RefSeq and is a predicted model, not a curated record. Lineage: Eukaryota; Metazoa; Chordata; Mammalia; Carnivora; Herpestidae. The transcript is spliced from 2 exons.
CCACAUAGUACAAAUGCCAGGAGUAAAUCCUAAUGCAAAUUAUGAAGACUAAUAAUAGAUGCAGGAGUUCGCUGCCUCUGCAGCCCCCUCCCUUACAGAGUCCACCGCCCUAAAUUCCUGGCUGCCCUAGAAGACCUCAAAGCUCUCCUCUGUCACUUCAAGCCACUGAUGAUGAAACUUUCCUCUACACUGACCAGCAUGGGAAUUAUUGGGCAGCCCUUAGGCAGAAACAAACUAAAGCACCGUCUUUCAAGGAUAAAUAAUAACAGUUUGUGAUCAAUCUGCAGUACCUUCAUGA